Molecule: long non-coding RNA, 949 nt
Organism: Ailuropoda melanoleuca (giant panda)
Lineage: Eukaryota; Metazoa; Chordata; Mammalia; Carnivora; Ursidae
Exons: 4
Source: RefSeq, a predicted model, not a curated record
CAGAGGCCUUUGGUCUUUUCCUCUGGGCCUUGACCAUCCCCUUCCGGGGUGGGAGGAGGAUGGAAGUGCCAGAGCCACGGGCAGCUCGGACGACAGGUGGAGAACCACGGGUGCAAAGGUGGAACGUUCGCCGCUCCUGUCCUGGUCUGUUGAUUCAGCUCUCAGUGCGGACCUUUCAGCAAGGGUUUGGUGGACUCCCUCCUUCAUCCCUUAGACACUCGCUGCGGAGCCAGCCCCCGCCAGACACUGUCCUAGACCCUGGGAGAAUGUAGCCACAGACGGACAGAUGUCCCUGGGCUCGUGGAGUGUGGAACGUCUAGUGUGGGACAGGUUGCUUCACCUCCUUUGCUGUACCUCCCGAAGGUUGACCAGUGCUGUAGGCGUUUUACGCUCCAAGAACGCCUUACACCAGGACAGAUCAACCGCCCUGGGCACUUGGAAUGUGGCUGUUAAUGUGGCGAAUGUGUUCUUUCCGAACGUCAGAAAGGAGGAGAAGGACCGUAGGGAAGGACAGCGGUGCGCACCCGUGGCCUUGCCCGCGAUCACGUGGCCGUCCUGCAGCACAUCCCAUUGGUCCUCUACCCUGGUGACAUCAGGGUUGUUGGACUGGAGCGCACGCCUCGAGCCAUCUCCUCUCUGGACUGUCAGCCCCGGAGGCACUCAUGGCCCCUGAUACCCCGUCCCCAGCUGUGACCCCAGCAUGAGCGCACAGUCAGUAAGCAUCCCUGUGUCGAAGGUGCCAGAGAGUACCUGGCGGUGGAGGCACCUCAGGGCCUUGAGCUCAUUCCCCCAGAGCAGGCACACCUGUGCGAUAGGCUGCCAGCGACUGAGACCUGGCUCCCUUCGGGGACGCACGUCCUUGGUCCUGACCAUCCCCAGGACCUGGUGCCGGGCGUGUGGAGACGGAGCCCCAGGAAACGGAGUGGACGUGUGACAACGGCCUUGGAGC